Molecule: transfer RNA, 76 nt
Filed under: Pseudomonas aeruginosa
Lineage: Bacteria; Pseudomonadati; Pseudomonadota; Gammaproteobacteria; Pseudomonadales; Pseudomonadaceae
Description: tRNA-Val
Rfam family: tRNA
About the family: Transfer RNA (tRNA) molecules are approximately 80 nucleotides in length. Their secondary structure includes four short double-helical elements and three loops (D, anti-codon, and T loops).
Source: RNAcentral
GGGUGAUUAGCUCAGCUGGGAGAGCAUCUGCCUUACAAGCAGAGGGUCGGCGGUUCGAUCCCGUCAUCACCCGCCA